ACGGGCGUGUAUAAAAAACGUCUUCGUUUUGAANNNAAGMUUUUUCCGCGGAGAAGARGGCGACGGGGUUAAUCACCCUGUCUAUUGACKUYCCCCGCAAAARARACCCCGGAUAUCUCCGUGCCARCACCCGGSGUAAUACAGGGGGUGCASGCUUUUAUCAMAAUWUCUGGGUAUAAAGCACACACGCGNNUCUUUUAWGUCNAUAUGUGAUAUCCCCGGKCUUCACYKGRAAACUGCAUNUGAAACUGGCAGCUGAGUCUUGUGUAGAGGGGGGGUAGAAUUACAKGUGUAGCGUGAAAUKGCGUAGAGAUCUGGAGGAAUANCCGGUGGCGAAMGGCGGCCCCCUGGACAAAGACUGACGCUCAKGUGCGAAAGCGUGGGGAGCAAACAGGAUUAGAUANCCCUGGUAGUCCACGCYRUAAACGAUGUCGACUUGGAGGUUGUUCCCUUGAGGAGUGGCUUCCGGAGCUAACGCGUUAAGUCGACCGCCUGGGGAGUACGGCCGCAAGGUUAAAACUCAAAUGAAUUGACGGGGGCCCGCACAAGCGGUGGAGCAUGUGGUUUAAUUCGAUGCAACGCGAAGAACCUUACCUACUCUUGACAUCCACGGAAUUUGGCAGAGAUGCCUUAGUGCCUUCGGGAACCGUGAGACAGGUGCUGCAUGGCUGUCGUCAGCUCGUGUUGUGAAAUGUUGGGUUAAGUCCCGCAACGAGCGCAACCCUUAUCCUUUGUUGCCAGCGAUUCGGUCGGGAACUCAAAGGAGACUGCCGGUGAUAAACCGGAGGAAGGUGGGGAUGACGUCAAGUCAUCAUGGCCCUUACGAGUAGGGCUACACACGUGCUACAAUGGCGCAUACAAAGAGAAGCGACCUCGCGAGAGCAAGCGGACCUCACAAAGUGCGUCGUAGUCCGGAUCGGAGUCUGCAACUCGACUCCGUGAAGUCGGAAUCGCUAGUAAUCGUGGAUCAGAAUGCCACGGUGAAUACGUUCCCGGGCCUUGUACACACCGCCCGUCACACCAUGGGAGUGGGUUGCAAAAGAAGUAGGUAG
Molecule: ribosomal RNA, 1052 nt
Filed under: Pantoea agglomerans
Lineage: Bacteria; Pseudomonadati; Pseudomonadota; Gammaproteobacteria; Enterobacterales; Erwiniaceae
Description: partial 16S ribosomal RNA
Source: RNAcentral